UAAUGGUGAAUUUUUCUUGGAAUCCAGA
Molecule: small RNA, 28 nt
Filed under: Bombyx mori (domestic silkworm)
Lineage: Eukaryota; Metazoa; Arthropoda; Insecta; Lepidoptera; Bombycidae
Description: ovarian small RNA-19811
Source: RNAcentral